AACAGAAGCAGGAGAAAGAUAAGAGUAGACAGGGAUGAAACGUCAAUGUACCAGAUCUUUGGUAGGUCAAAUAUGAGUGACAAACUCUACGUGCUGAAUGAAGACUAGAUCAAGAUCAUUAGAGUGGAAGAUGCAAAAGAUUGAACCUAGGUUCAAUUGCUGGCUCUGGAGAUAGAAGCAUACAAAGACUACAAAAGAUGACCCAAAAUUUUAACAUGUUUUAGAAGUCCUAGAUUUGUAUUAUAGUCCACCGACAGACUUAUUUUCACAAUCAAAGCAAGUUCUGGUUUGUAAAGAAAAUAUGGCCCUUGGGGCUCUUGGGGCUCUUGGCACGCCUGCUGUCUCAUUUAUAAAUGGAACAUGUUUACAGUGUAUUCACCUUGAGUCUUGAGGAACUUCUCCAGAUCAUGGACCGUGGCUUUGAAGGAGCAAGCUGCCAUGAGCUUUACUGUCACAAAGAAAUGAAUUAUGCCAAGAAUCAGAAGGAGCUCAGAAGCAGAUCCUUUCCUCAUCAAGCCUCCAAGUGCGACUGCAGCCAGCCAGCCUUGAGCACAGCCUUGUGAGCCCCUAAAGAGAAAACUCAGACGAUGCCUAGACUCCUGACCUCCCGAAACUGUUAGAUAACAACGUGUGUUUUAAACGACCAAGUUUGUGGUAAUCUAUUACACAAUCUACAAAACUAAUAUAUGAAUCCACUAG
Molecule: long non-coding RNA, 699 nt
Filed under: Equus caballus (horse)
Lineage: Eukaryota; Metazoa; Chordata; Mammalia; Perissodactyla; Equidae
Description: lncRNA (ENSECAG00000051603.1)
Source: RNAcentral